UAUGAACUCCUGCUAUGGCACACAUGUGGAGGUCAGAGGACAACCUAUAGGAAUCAGUUCUCUCCUUGCAUGGUGUGGUCCUGGGGAGUGAACUCAGAUCAUCUGGCUUAGUGCUUAUUCCUUACCUUUCCCAGGAGCAACAGGCAUCCCUGGGGAUGAAGGCACUGUUCCUCAGAACCAGGAAGCUGAGUCUCAUGUCCCAUUGAAGAGGAGCUCUGUGGAGAGGAGCUGUGUGACCAGCGGGUUACAUCCCCCGGCAAGCCCAGACUUAGGAAACUCCAGUCUCUUAAGGGAGCAGCCCUCACUGUUCCCAGAACUGGUGGAGGACUGUAUCUACCCUCCCAGAAAGUCUGCUUUCUGCUCCCUCCCUUUUUGCAUUUUUAAAAGAUUUAUUUUCA
Long non-coding RNA from Peromyscus leucopus (white-footed mouse), 398 nucleotides. RefSeq lists it as uncharacterized. The transcript is spliced from 2 exons. NCBI's taxonomy places the organism in Eukaryota, Metazoa, Chordata, Mammalia, Rodentia, Cricetidae. The record is from RefSeq and is a predicted model, not a curated record.